AGGGGCUUCAGCUCAGAAGGCCUUGUUGAGAAUGGAAUGGAGAGCAGGAACAAGAGAGAGGGGCAAAGGCAUUGCCAGCAUUCUCUGUUCGGCUGUUCUCCACCCACUGCCUUUCCUCCUGCUUCCCUCUAAGUCCAGGGCAUUUUCCCUUUUGAUAAACUUCCCCUUUUACAACCCAUCCAAGGGUGAAAAACAAAGUCAUUACUUUUUUUUCAGUACCUCUAAGGCAAAGCAGCAGAAACAGGCAGUCACCACUACGAAUAAGUGACUACAACAAGAGCUAGGCCAAACUCUGCCAUGUGGGCUGCAUUUUAUUGGGCCGGCAAGUAACUUUAAAUCCCAGCUCACACUCUACUGAGUGAAAGUCUGAUGAACCCGCAUCUUCUUGUGAACAACUGCGCCUGAGAUCAGUCAUGCAAGAAGUAGCACCCCCACCCCCAGACAACUAACUUCCCAGGCUGUGACCAACAAGCAGCCAAGAGGCCAGGACAGGGAAGUCUCAGGACCUUUCUAGGAAAUCAAUACCUUUCUCUGGGUUUGUUCUGCCUGAAAUAAUACCAAUCUCCCUCCAACAGCUUAGCAUGUGUGGAGCAUUUGAUACUAACAGCAACCCUGCAAGGCAGGAAGGCAGUAGGGAGAGGCCCAAGAGGAAUUCAGCAUUAAGGCAGUGAGACUGACAGAGGGGACCCCCUGAGGACAUUCUGGAAGGUCUUAGCCAGGGCCAGGAUGCAGACCCUUCAUGUCACUGUAGCUGAGACGAGGUGCAAGGUUCACAGCAUAUAACCUAAUUUUAUUACAAGAAUAAAGACUCAGAGUUUAAAUACUCCUGCUUUGGGGCUCAUUAGUAACAAGUUCUCCAAUAUUCAAAAGGCAAAGUGGAUGUGUUUUAGUGUAAAAUUAACACUAGCUGCUGUAACAAAUAAGCCCCCAAACAUAUGAUAUCUCAAACACCGUAGGUUUAUUUCUCACUCACAUCAGAGUCAAAAUGGAUGUUUCUAACCUGCAGCUGGGGCUUCUCCCAGCAGUAUUAGGGGCACUUUCCAUCUUGUGGCUCCACCGUCUGUAAUGCAGGACUCCAAGUGGUGGAAGAGGACGGAGCAGAGGAGUCACACAUGGGUGUGUGUCUGGCCCAGGGUGGAAGUGGAUGUGCAUUUCUUCUGCCCACCUCACUCACAAGGCCACACCCCACUGCAAGAGAGGCUGGAGAAUGCGGACUGGAUUUAAACCCAAGAAGAAGAAAUGGUUUUCUGAAUAGUUGGCCAUUUACUGACACAAAAAGGGUCAAAGUGACUUGCAGAGGAGAUGAAUUUUAAAUACUAU
This 1320-nucleotide long non-coding RNA is filed under the name Homo sapiens (human). RNAcentral describes it as "HSALNT0086562". The record is from RNAcentral. Lineage: Eukaryota; Metazoa; Chordata; Mammalia; Primates; Hominidae.